RNAcentral lists this long non-coding RNA (219 nucleotides) under Elaeis guineensis (African oil palm). RNAcentral's name for it is "long non-coding RNA (EGUI_LNC030504)". The record is from RNAcentral. Lineage: Eukaryota; Viridiplantae; Streptophyta; Magnoliopsida; Arecales; Arecaceae.
CUUGAAGCUCCACCUCACUUUGAAUUCUUCUUGGCUCCUGAAGCUCCACCUCACAUUGAGCUCCCCAUUAUGUAGUAAUAUCCUUUCAUCCUCUUCUUUUUCUCUAGAAUAACCCUGUCAUCAUGCAAUACAUUCAGGAUUCCUCCACCAGCUACUGCUUUGUAGCCUUUCGAAUCUAAUUUGCUUAGUGAGAUAAGAUUCUGCUUGAAAUUAGGUAUG